Molecule: long non-coding RNA, 338 nt
Filed under: Elaeis guineensis (African oil palm)
Lineage: Eukaryota; Viridiplantae; Streptophyta; Magnoliopsida; Arecales; Arecaceae
Description: long non-coding RNA (EGUI_LNC070442)
Source: RNAcentral
GGGUUGGUUGUUCUCUUAACCAAAGAGUGUGGUGACACUGGUAUGGCAUACAGGUGAGAUGUAGCAGUACAUCAUCACUGAACAAGUGACUCACCUACUGAGCAUUUUGCUGUCAAGAGCAGCUCAUGAAACACAUAGGUAUAAGUGUCCUUCAGAUCUGAGAUCACUAUAAUGACUUACAAGCAACUCACUAUGCUUUGGUAUUGAACUAUCUGAAUUUUUAAUGCAGUAACAGAAGACUACUGGGUACAGUCAAGUACUUAUGAAGUCUGUGUGUGGAUCAAGAUGGGAUUGACCCCUUCGAAUUAUUGGAGUUGAUAUAUCACUGUAUUUCAAUU